ACAGCUGCUGAAGUUCCCGUUGGGCCCAUGUCCCCGUUAUGAGCAGCUGCAGAACGAGACCCGGCAGACACCAGAGUAUCAGAAUGAGAGUUCUCGGAAUGCACAAUUUCUGGACAUGGUGGCCAACGAGACAGGGCUUACAGACCUGACACUGGAGACCGUCUGGAAUGUCUAUGACACACUCUUCUGUGAGCUGGAAAAGAAAGUUCUAGACUGUGGCCCAGAAUAGGGCUGGGGCAGCUCCCAGAGAAUGAAUAGUGCUGUUUCCUAUUGG
This 274-nucleotide long non-coding RNA is filed under the name Homo sapiens (human). RNAcentral describes it as "non-protein coding lnc-PACSIN3-5:1". Lineage: Eukaryota; Metazoa; Chordata; Mammalia; Primates; Hominidae. The record is from RNAcentral.